Molecule: long non-coding RNA, 2609 nt
Organism: Lycium ferocissimum
Lineage: Eukaryota; Viridiplantae; Streptophyta; Magnoliopsida; Solanales; Solanaceae
Exons: 6
Source: RefSeq, a predicted model, not a curated record
AGUAUUCUUGAAGGUCCAUCCAAUGUGCUCAGCUUUUUGGUGCAAUUUCAAGUUCAAGAUUUUUUUUUUUUUAUGUCAAGUUACCAUUUCCUGUAACCAACUCUAGAAACAGUAAAGACUUGUGAUUUCUCUUUUGGAGGGUGGAGUUGGUGGAGGAAGCAAUUGGAAAAAUGAGUCUGUAGAAAUCUACAGUCAGCACUUCUAUUGUUAGAGUGAGAAAGUACUGAGUCAGUUAUGUCAUUCGCAACCUAUAGUUAUUGGCUCUCUUUCCAAGGUAUUAGGUUCAACACGAGCACUUCCAUAUUCAUUUCUUAUUUCUUUAAGGUACCCUGUCUAUCUUUUGCCUCUAUAUCGUGGACCCAAACAAGUUCUUAUCCAACAUAGUCACAUUAAUAUGAACUUACAGGACAGAAUGUAGCAAGGAAGGAUGAUAAUGUAGUGAUGUAUAUAGCACUAACGAGCAAGAAAACAAAUAUGACCUAAGAACCAGCAGCUUUUGUGCAUCUUAAUCGCCUGCUUCUUGCUUUAGAAAUGUUGCUCAUUAGAUAACUGUUUCCAAUAAAGCUUGCACUAGGCUCUCACCUUUUUUGGCUUAGCCAUAGCAUUUUAUUGGUAAUGGGUUGAUUAUUGAAUCUAGUCGAAAUUAUAUAGCUGAAUGUAGAGAUCAGCAGUGUCCUACUUGAGAAGAACCUCUUAUCAUCCACAAACUGAAAAGAAUUAGAGAAAAAGCUUGAGAAAGCGUCCUUGGAAGGGGUAAUAUUUGACAAGUGUUAGUGGAACCCAUCCUCUCGUUGUCAAAGAGGACAUAAGUGAAAUUACACGACAGACGGAAAGUGGAGAACAUCAUUUUCCAAUUUUCUCUUCAGUAAGGAAAGAAAGCACUGCCAAAACCAAUAAGAAAGAAGAAAUUGCGUGAUAAUCUGAAUGUCCUCUGUGGAGAUUUUUAAAAUCUACUUACACGUUGCAGCUGAUAAGGAGGAAGAGGGAGAAAAAAAAAAAAAAAAAAAAAAGAUAGCUGAUAAAAUGUGGUAGUGCUGGAUACUUCAUUAUGAAGAGAUACUACACUCUUCUACAGCAGCAAGCAGAGAACUGGGAGUUCAAUUAGCCUUAAAAAAUGCUUUGGAGAACAAGAGCACCCCCUAAAGCAGUCUGUUUUGGAUGGAUAGCUGCAAAAGAGGCUUGUCUAACUCAAGCUGCUCUUCAGAAAAGAGGCCUAUCUCUCUGCAAUAGAUGUUUCUUAUGUGAAGCCUCAUUGGAAACAAACAAUCAUCUUCUACUUCACUUUAAAUCCUCCUGGCAUAUAUGGUCAUGUAUUCUUAACAUUUUUGGACUCAGCUGGCUGAUGCCCCAGGAUGUGAGAAGCCUUUUAUCUUGCUGGAAAGGACAGUGUAUUGAGAAGAGGAAGAAGAAGACUUGGAAGACUGCCCCAGUAUGCCUAAUGUGGACACUGUGGUUGGAGAGAAACAAUAGAUGCUUUGAAGGGAAGAAAUUGCAUCUAUCCUUUGUGAAAUAUAGAUGCUUCUAGACACUGCAUUUGUGGUGCAAGAGUAGUCCAUUGGAAAACCCAACUCUGCUCUUGGAGUUUUUGGUCUUUGAUGUUGUAACUAUAGCAGUGAACUUGUUCAUAUCUUUUGUACUUUUUAUGUACCUUGGUACUAAUCAUCAAUAAAACUUUACCUUAUCAAAAAAAGAAAAAGAAUGUGGUUAGUGCCUUCCAGGGACAGUGAAGGCACAUACCAAAUAGUCAAACAAUGGGAACAAAUCUGGACAUGGUGAUAGGUGAGCUCCGCACAAGUCUGAUGAGGGUCAAAACGAGUGGUUGUGGCAAUCUCCAACAAGAAUACAACCACUUUAGAAGCGUCGAUGCCAUUCAGGAACAGUCCCAGAGGCAAUUUCCAGGUUUCUCGCACUGCUUUUUGUUUGUGAGGAAGUGUCAUGCUGGCAUGGAUAAGUGCGUGCCUGAAUGUUUCAAACUGCCACGUACUUAGAAAUUUGGUUUACCAGUCUAAGCUCAGUAAGCACUUUGCGAGGAAUGAACAAAAGGAUAGCUCCAUCUGCUUCACGUUAUACUGAAUCAGUAAUUGUAGCAGCUCGCCCUAGGGAUUAAGCAUGGAGUGUGAAAGCCUUCAGUUUAUUAGAAUUGUCAAAACGAGGAAAAUUUAGUUCUUCAGAGUUGUUUUUCUUAGUACUGUCACAUGUUGGAGAUAAUCGCGGAGAUAGCAUAUUUGCAAUUGAUACUGUCAUUAUGAGACUCCUUUUUCUCAUGCUGGCUAUAGAAAUCACGCGUUGCACUCUUACCCUUGAGCCAAAGCCUGGGGACUUGAAAGGCCAAGUAUACAAAUCACAAAGAACUAAUGUGGAGUGAUAGAAAAAUAGAGAUCAUUGAUUGCCCAGAAAACAAAGCCAUCUUCAGUUUGGUUUGUGAUAGCUUAUGUUAUUCACAAGUUGCCCUGUGUUUGGGUUCUAUAUAGGGGUGGGCGUUCGGUUCUUCGGUUCGGUUUUAUCAAACUUCGGUUUGGCUAUUUUGGUUUCGGUUUUUUGAAGGUGGACACCGAACACCGAACCAAACUAGUUUGGUUCGGUUCUUUUGGUUUCGGUUUUUUGAAGUU